RNAcentral lists this ribosomal RNA (440 nucleotides) under uncultured bacterium. RNAcentral describes it as "partial 16S ribosomal RNA". It matches the Rfam family "Bacterial small subunit ribosomal RNA", at positions 338 to 795 of the family's 1533-position model. The record is from RNAcentral.
CCUACGGGAGGCAGCAGUAGGGGAUCUUGCACAAUGGGGGGAACCCUGAUGCAGCGACGCCGCGUGGGUGAAGGAGCUUUUCGGCUCGUAAAACCCUGUCGGCAGGGAAGAAGAUGACGGUACCUGACCAAGCACCCCCUGCGAAGUCCGUGCCAGCAAGCGCGGUCAUACGUAGGGGGCAAGCGUUAUGCGGAUUUACUGGGUGUAACGUGGUCGCAGACGGCAAUGCAAGCCAGGCGUGGAAGCCCGGGGCCCAACCGCGGGGCGUCUUUUGGAACUGCAUGGCUGGAGUACAGUAGGGGAAGGCGGAAUUCCAAGUGUAGCGGUGAAAUGCGUAGAGAGUUGGAGGAACACCGGUGGCGAAGGCGACUUGCUGGACUGUGACUGACGUUGAGGUGCGAAGGCGUGGGGAGCAAACAGGAUUAGAUACCCCAGUAGUC